This is a microRNA precursor of Panthera pardus (leopard), 101 nucleotides long. The record is from Ensembl. NCBI's taxonomy places the organism in Eukaryota, Metazoa, Chordata, Mammalia, Carnivora, Felidae.
ACCUUCUUGUAUAAGCACUGUGCUAAAAUUACAGAACCUAAGAUUGUCUUAGUUUCUGUAGUAAUGCUAGCAGAGUACACACAAGAAGAAAAAUAACUGCA